UUACCCAAUCCCGACACGGGGAGGUAGUGACAAUAAAUACUGAUGAGCGGCUCUUUUGGGCCGUUCAAUUGGAAUGAGUACAAUUUAAAUCCCUUAACGAGGAACAAUUGGAGGGCAAGUCUGGUGCCAGCAGCCGCGGUAAUUCCAGCUCCAAUAGCGUAUAUUAAAGUUGUUGCAGUUAAAAAGCUCGUAGUUGAAACUUGGGCCUGGCUGACCGGUCCGCCUCACCGCGUGCACUGGCUCGGCCGGGCCUUUCCUUCUGGGGAGCCGCAUGCCCUUCAUUGGGUGUGCCGGGGAACCAGGACUUUUACUUUGAAAAAAUUAGAGUGUUCAAAGCAGGCCUAUGCUCGAAUACAUUAGCAUGGAAUAAUAGAAUAGGACGUGUGGUUCUAUUUUGUUGGUUUCUAGGACCGCCGUAAUGAUUAAUAGGGAUGGUCGGGGGCAUCAGUAUUUAAUUGUCAGAGGUGAAAUUCUUGGAUUUAUUAAAGACUAACUACUGCGAAAGCAUUUGCCAAGGAUGUUUUCAUUAAUCAGUGAACGAAAGUUAGGGGAUCGAAGACGAUCAGAUACCGUCGUAGUCUUAACCAUAAACUAUGCCGACUAGGGAUCGGACGGUGUAUUAUUUUGACCCGUUCGGCACCUU
Molecule: ribosomal RNA, 643 nt
Filed under: Gilbertaria squalescens
Lineage: Eukaryota; Fungi; Ascomycota; Lecanoromycetes; Lecanorales; Sphaerophoraceae
Description: SSU rRNA
Rfam family: Eukaryotic small subunit ribosomal RNA
Source: RNAcentral